UACGUAGGGAGCGAGCGUUAUCCGGAUUUAUUGGGUGUAAAGCGUGUGUAGGCGGUUUUAUAAGUCUAGGGUCUAAGCCCGGAGCUCAACUCCGGUUCGCCUUGGAAACUGUAAGACUUGAGUUUGGUAGAGGUAAAUGGAAUUUCUAGUGUAGCGGUGAAAUGCGUAGAUAUUAGAAGGAACACCAGUGGCGAAGGCGAUUUACUGGGCCAACACUGACGCUGAGACACGAAAGCGUGGGUAGCAAAUAGG
Molecule: ribosomal RNA, 252 nt
Filed under: uncultured organism
Description: partial 16S ribosomal RNA
Rfam family: Bacterial small subunit ribosomal RNA
Source: RNAcentral